Molecule: long non-coding RNA, 7426 nt
Organism: Vicia villosa (hairy vetch)
Lineage: Eukaryota; Viridiplantae; Streptophyta; Magnoliopsida; Fabales; Fabaceae
Exons: 4
Source: RefSeq, a predicted model, not a curated record
AGAAGAAAAGAAAAAGAAGGGAGAGAGAGAAAAAGAAGUGAAGAAGAAAAAGCAGAGAAUACAAAGAGACCGGAUAUUGACAAAUUUCAUGUCACUGUUCUGGGAUCUCUCUCUAAACUAUACUCUUUUUCCGUCUCUAAAAAAACCUCACUUUAUUUUUCUUUCUCUCUCUAAAAAAUAAAACCUCAGUUAAUUUUUCUUUCUUCACUUUGUUGUAUAUGUCUAAAACAGAGAAAAGAGAAAGAACAAAUAGAUGACCAUCUAAGCUUUUUCAAUGUUGUUUCUUAAUUUUUUCUUUUAAUAACCAAACUUUUUUUUGGAGUCGAUAUACUUAAUUUUUCUUAUGUUUUCAGUGGUAGAAUCCAUGGCGGAUUCUUAAUAGGAACUGAUACAAGGAAGUGGGCUUGAGGGAUGGGAACCAAAGUUCAGAGUCUUCCGGGAAACUGCUCAAUGAGAGAUCUUAACGAGGAAUCCAGCAGUUGUGGUUGGCACCUAUAUUAUCGAAACCAUCUUGCAAGUGCUGCACCAGAUAUAUGUUCAACAUAUGAUAAGGAUGCUGUGGAACAGAUGAUGCUUGAGCACGAGGCCAUAUUUAAGAAUCAGGUGUCCGAAAUGCAUGGAAUUGAAGCUUCCUCGUGAAGGUUCUGCAUUCUGGUAUGUGAUUGUGUUCUACUGUUAGUUGUUUGAAGUUCCGUUAUUUUGGUUAUUGAAUCUUUAUAGGUAAUUAUGAAAUGAAAUAGCCAUGAGAAUAGAUUCUAUAUGAUCUUUUAGAAUAUUUAGGGAAUGUUUGGUAUGCUGGAACUGCAGCAUAAUGCUUGAUUUGCUCCAGUGUCGUCAAAUAGUGGAUAUAGUAGUGGCUUUAUGGUACAGCGGAUAUGAAAAAACUUCUAUUUUUUAUGCGAUACACAAUUUAGUGUAAAGUGUUGCCAAAUAGAGGCUAUAACAUUGUAGAAUAGUAGAAUUCGAAUAGACCGUUAUUUUCUGCUAUCUGCGACAUACAACAUAGAUAUGAUCCUGACCAAUAGUACUGUUCUAGUUAUUGUAAAAAAAAAAGAAGUUAGUAGUGAUUGAUCUAACUAAAUAUUUAUAACAUAUUGGUUUAGUUAUUAGGGAUUAGCAUUAUGGUGAAAGGGAUGACAUUGUUGCUCCGAAGGGCACAAUAUAGAAGGUGAGAUUGAGCAAUGUUGCAUAUCGUAACAAGUGAACUGUGAACUACUACUAAAUACUUACUGUUACAACUUACAACUGUUGAAUUUGAAUCACACAAACUUUUAUUUCUCGCAGUAUUAUUUUCUUUCAUAUAUUUGGAAUCCAUUUUGAUAUCUUGUAACAGCUCCCAAGAAUGUUUUAAAUCUUCAUGGAGUUCGCACAAAUCAGUGCGUCUGAAGGCAAAGCUAUCUUCAGGUGGUACACAGAAUUCGAACUCACUUGGUGAAGGGUGGCUAUAUUGCGUGAAGAGAGGGCAGGGUCAAACUCCAAAGCUUCCUUACUAUGACUGGACUGGGUAAAUUUCCAGCAUUUCUAAAACCUUUCUCGUUUCAGAACUUAAUGGGUCAUGUCAAAUAAAAUCCGACCCGCUCUUGCUUCCAUGGUUCUAAUUUACUCACACUUCAUUGCGAUUUGCAUUUCUUCCAUUUUGUCUAAAGCAAAGCAACACACCUCGUCACAGUUAGGGUUGUUCAAAAAAUCCAAGAACUGAACCGAACCGCCGAACUGAACCGAACUGAAAUUAAAAUAACCGAACCGUUAUGUAUGGUUAGUGAACCAAACCAUUAUGCACAAACAGUUCUAAAACCGAACUGUAACUGAAACCGAACCGAAUUGAAACUAAACCCGAACCGAACCAAAAUUAAAAAGGAAAAAUGCUUAAAAUAAUUUUAAAUUUUUUUAAAAUAAAAAAUAAAAAAUAGCUUAACGGUUUGGUUCUUUGAUAAACAGUUCGGUUUGGUAAAAAUUGCCUUCUAACGGUUCUAUACGGUUCGGAUUUUCAAAAUGGUAUAUCAAACCAAUAAUUUUGGUUCAGUUUGGUUCAUAGUAAAUUGAAACGGUUCGGUUCAGUUCGAGUGAAUUUUUAUUAUGGUUUAGUUCGGUUCGGUUCAGUUUUUCUUAUGAACCGUACCAUGAACACCCCUAGUCACAGUAGCAAUCUUCUCCUGGUUCUGCAGCUUGAAAUUGAUGAAGACUUCUUUUAUUUCUUGGCUGACGUUGCAAUUACAGAGGUAUAUGGAAAGUAUAUAUUUAUAUGCUUUCCAUAAAUCGUCGAGAACCCUUUCAAUCAAGUAAUUGAUAUGACAUGUGUUGUUUUUUUAUUAAUUCAAUCGUUAGUGUUUAUAUUGAUUUUGUUGUUAAACUUGUGGUGUUGAAGUUGAAAAAAUGGAGUCGAGGUGCUGUACAAUUGUGUUGUGUGCUAUCUCUAUGUCGAUCUAGUGACGUAAAGUUUGGCUACUUUGAUCUAGUGAAUUUGCCGAUCUAUAUGAAAAGUGCGGGUAAUAUUUUUCAAAUUGAUAUGCAUGUGAGUUUGAAAAUUACAUUGUUUUCUUUUUCCAUUUCAAAUGUUAUACAUGGUCAAACCUGUGUAACGGGACAAACCGUCGAUUUACUCGGUUUUUAAUGUUCCAUGAAUUGAAUGUGUUAAUUUAUAAACCCUUCUGUUAUAAAUAUCAAUAACAAAAGUGAUGCUUCUAUAUGUUAUAAUACAACUGUUACUCUAUAUUUUUUUUUGUUCUUUAACCACAAAUAUUAGUGAUGUGUCAAUGCACACUGCAAGAUCAAAGGUAACUCAGGGUCACCAAAAUCAGGUCUGGAUGCUAUGUCUGAUUUUUAUUCGAUACUUCGUGAUGAAGCUGCUAGAAGUCACAAAAUGGAGGUCAACUGUCGCGAUGCAUUGAAUUGGAUAUCUCAUAAGGGAUAUCAUUGGAGUUAUGAGAAUAAAUGAAUAUUCAGGUAUCAUUCUUAUUUCCUCAUUACUUGCCCUUGAACUUGAAAUUAAUUGAAAUCCAUUUACAUUAAAUAUUUUCCAAUUGUGAAAUGAAAUGAGCAUCAGUAAAUGUAUGGACUAGAGGGGUCAAAAAAGCCCAAAAUUGUAAAGUGCUAUCAUUUAGGUCCUUAUAAGGCCCCUCUUUUUUAGGCCCUUUACUAAAUAAAUAAUUUUUUGGCCCCAUAUUUCAAAGCCCCUUUGUAUUUUUGUUUUUUAUGGGGCCUAAGUAAGAGCCCCAAAUUAUAACUUGUUUGAAACUAAAUAGUUUGAACAGAUUUUUUAUCGAAAAUAUAAAAAUUGACUUUUUCGAAAAACAUAACCGUGUUAUUUUCGAAAAUAAAAAAGUCGACUUUUUCCGGAAAAAAAUAGAUUUUUUUCGAAAAUACAAAAAGAUGAUUUUUUUGGAAAAAGAUUUUUUAAUCGAAAAAUCGAUUUUUUUCCAAAAAGGAAAAAAGUUGACUAUUCCGGAAAAAAUCAAUUUUUUUCGAAACAAUAAAAACUCGACUUUUCUGAAAAAGAAAACAAUUUUUUAGUCGACAAUAUAAAAAGUUGGCUUUUUUCGAAAAAGUUGACUUUUUCGAAAAAAAAUCGAUAUUUGUCGAAAAUAUAAAAAAUAGAUUUUUCCAUAAAUAAAUUUGAUUUUUUGUUGAAAAUACAAGUCGAUUUUCCGAUAAAAAAACAUCUUUUACGAAAAUAUAAAACAUCGAUUUUUAGUAAAUCAUUAUAGAUUAAGCUCAAACUUUAUAGGUAUGAUCUAUGUGAUAUUAUGUUUCAAUCCAACGGUUGAAUUUAAAAAAUAUUAAUUCGAGAUGUAGUUAUUGAACGAGUGUAACUCGUGGUGUAACUCUUCGGGUGUAAUUUGAUCCCUCCUCAUAUAUAUAUAUAUAUAUAUAUAUAUAUAUAUAUAUAUAUAUAUAUAUAUAUAUAUAUAUAUAUAUAUAUAUAUAUAUAUAUAUAUAUAUAUAUAUAAAAUUUAGUGUAUAGUAUAAGAAAUUAAUAAUAUUAUUAUUGAAAAUCAUUAUACAAUAAAACAAGAUAAAAUAAGCAAAACGAAUAAAAAAUUGGACAUUACUAGUAUCUAUAAAAAUGAUGAUGUAAAUAGAAUAAGAGUUUUAUAAAAAUGUUUGACCCUCCAUCUCCUUAUAAGGAGAAGAAAAGUAUACAAUAUUAUGGUGAUAAAGCACUGGUAAAUGGACAAUAUUAUCAGAACCAGCUUCUAAGUGCGCCAACAGAUGUAUGUUGUUUUGUGAAACAGAUGAUGCUUGAGCACGAGGCCAUAUUUAACAAUCAGGUAUGAAGUUAUAGUUUAUUUUCAUUCUUGGCUUAUGCAAAUUAAAGGUUUUGGGUGCUUAAAGAUCGAGUAUAUAGGAUAUGAUUAUUUAUCAUGUUUUGACUCAAAAUAUGAAAAAAUGUAAUAGCUAGUUUUUAAAUACUUAGCAGUGAGAUACCAACAAGAGUUCGGUUCAAUAUUGACUUUAAUCAGUUUUAGAAUGGGUGAUAUAGUUUCACUUAAUUUUUUUGUUUACCUAUAAUUGGUAAAACUAUUGAUAUAUUUUAAUUAUGUAUUAUCAUCAGGUGUUUGAACUUAUACAGAAUACUGAAUACAAAGAGAAUUGAUGGAUGAAGUAAAAAUGAAAGAAUUACAUAGAAACCAUAGAUUUGUUGGUCAAUCGUUUUCCCUAGGUCCUAGCUUUUCAAUAGUAGGAAGUCCGGCUUGUGAUAAACCAUCUAUUUCAGGCGUUGAGGGAAUUCAUUUUCCUUUUAGUUCAAACAAAGUAAUCAAUAAGCAAACUAGUCUCUUUCCAUCGCCAAAUGGGAGUGGUUCAAAAGAUGUUGAGAUACUGAGGUCUAGACCCUCAAAGAACCGGAACCAACAACAUUUGAAUCAUAUGAGACUAAAUUUAUUAUUUCUACACAAACAAGCAUAACCUGAUUUGUCCAAAAUAGAAAGAGAAAUUAGAUUCCUUCAAAUAGAUGGUUCAACAAAAAUCUCAACCAAAUUUAAAUGAAAACCAGUCUUUAAUAAUAAUCUAAAAGUCCCUUACAGCCUUUACUGCAAUUUCAUUGCCAUCGCUCAAAUAGAUGAAUCUUUCAGCAUCACUUGGCGGAUGACUCCCUAGGCAACUAUGCAUAGACAUAAUUAUGUGAGUAGUAACACCAUAAUCUACCCACUAAGUAUCCUUACGUACAAAAAUUAAAUUAAUUUUAGAACAAACAAAAGUGUGAGAAAAUUACCCAUCCUUUUAUGCCACAUGGUGCACUUGGAACAUUUCUUCUUCAUGUGUCCAACCUUCUUGCAAAAGAAGCAAGUGGACUCUUAGAUUGUUCCUUUACGUUCUUAUUUUGAGAAAAAAUUCCCACAGCCUUAUCAUUUUUAGCAAAUAUUUCUCCACAGUUUCGAGGAACCUCUUGGUGCUUUCUCUCUCAGCAAUGGAACCCUUAAUCAUUUUAAAUAUGGAUCUUUUGAUCACCAUGAGGCACAUCCGCUUAGAGCAGUCUCAUUUUUGUAUUUUAUUUUCAUUUUGGGUUCUCAUCGGUGGCGGUGGGACGUUCUUUCGUCAGGAAUAAAUAUAAGUCCAUGCAUCCAAGAACGAUCUCUACAUAUUCUUUCCAAGACAUGAAGUUCACCUCACUUAGCAUAGUGAUAGAUUUAAUUUGAGCAACAAAAUUUAGAGCGGUAGCAGCGACAAUUAGAUCGAUUGAAAUAAAACAACAAACACACAACAACAUUAAUAGGCAUAUAAAUAACUAUAUAUACAUGCACAAUAUUCUUUAUAGAUCCGAACAAGAUACCAAAAACACAAUUGUUUCUCAAUCUAUAAUUGUAAGAAUUAACUGUAUGUGGUACUUUCACGCAGUGAUCAAAUAUUAGUAAUAAGUUCUGUGAGAUAAAGGACGUCUUUGACGUCAAUCAUUAACCACAAGGAUAAACUUAUAAUGACUACAUAUUUAUUGUUGCACGUAUGCAAUUAUUCGGCUAAAUUAUGUCUUCUUUUUUACCGACCAUAACAAUUAGCGUGAACAAUUACACACUACAUCUUUUGUGAUUAUGAUUUAAUCAUAUUUACACAACAGAGGUUUCUUUUGUAACUUAUUGCUUCAACCAACUAAAUCAAAGUCAUUUGACUUUUUUUAAGGGAAAUGCUAACCAGUGCCCUUGGGGCACUCUUUAAGUGAUUAAAGUGGUAAGUUUUUUAUAAAAAAAAAAAUGUGUAUUUAAUGCACUAAAAAUGCAUUGGAAAUUGAAAUAUUAAUUUUUAUAAAGAAUUUUUUUUAUAUAGUAUGUUAAAAGAGUGCCCUGAGGGCACUCGUUAGCAAGAUCUUAUAGUUUUUUACCUAUAUGUCAUGCAAUUAAAUUUUUUCACAUAUUUAAGUACAAUCAAUUUUUUAUACUGAUAUGUAUAUAACAUAAACAUAAUUAUUGUUUAAUUUUAAUUAUGUGAGUAUUUUCUUAAAUAAUUAGGGUAGUUUAACAAUCAUUUGGUUAUUAAGCGACCAUAUAAUCAUACAAUUUUGACAUUAUAAUUGUGGAUAAUAUUUGUGUGAAUUUUAAGAUCUUUCCAUUUAAUUUAAAUUAAGGGUUAUGCUAACGUGUGCCCUAAGGGCACAUGUUAAAGAUACUAUAAUUAGAAAAAGUUAAAUAUAAUUAAAUGCAAUAAGGUCAUAUUUAAAGUUUUGAUACAUUGAAUGCACGCGUUCCAAGAAAAUAUUUCUAUAAAUAUCUCAUUAACUUGUGCCCUUGGGGCACAUGUUAGCUUUUCCCAAAACUAUAUAGCUCGUCGGCACUGUACCGCUAAUAUAUAUGUGACGUUGUUUAUGAGAAUAGGACAAUUAAAGACAAAUCCUAGCGUUUGACAGAAGUAGGUUACUAAAUAAUUUUGCUAUCAAAUACUCACAACAUACGAAAAGCAAUCAACAUUUUUUUAUGGGAAAGAAAUUCAUUCAACGAAAAGAAGGGGAAACAACAUUCGUCCCAUGCCAGGUUUUAGACCCGAGCAUUUUGUCCCAACUAAGUUGUGGGCAUUAGAGUUCAAGUUACGACUAAUAAAAUUAACAACUACAAAAUUUAAAGAGAAACGUAAAUUAAUACAAUCCUCCACAACAAAACUAAUCGCCGCGAUUAACAUGUGUGACCUUGGACACAAUUUGUGUAAAAAAAACAAUUUGGCACUGUUAACACUACUAUCACGUAAUAAAAAAAAGGAUAAAUAGUUGUCACCCCUUGCCAUUUGGGUGAGUUUUGGAUUUUCUCCUAUUAAAUUUUUUUUUUAAGGUUGCCCCUUUAUAAAACUCAGAUUUCAAUAUCACUAACCCCUAAACUCAUGUUACGCUGACUUGGCCAAGUAUGAUCCCUGUUGGCAUUUUAAUUAUUUGGUGACAUGGAAUUAAAUAUAUAACUUUGUUAAUUGGCAAAUUAGGUUAUAGAUUUCCCAAAAUUUUCUUCUUCAU